Molecule: small RNA, 1096 nt
Filed under: Polysporina subfuscescens
Lineage: Eukaryota; Fungi; Ascomycota; Lecanoromycetes; Acarosporales; Acarosporaceae
Description: eukaryotic LSU rRNA
Rfam family: Eukaryotic large subunit ribosomal RNA (bases 500-1096)
Source: RNAcentral
ACCUGCGGAGGAUCAUUACAGAGUUAGGGUCUCUUCAGGCCCGAUCUCCAACCCUUUGUGUACCUACCUUUGUUGCUUUGGCGGGCCCGCUGGGGCGACCCACCGGCGGCCUUUGGCUCCCGAGUGCCCGUCAGAGACCCUUUCAAACCUGUCAAUUGUGUCGUCUGAGUACCAACUUAAUAAUUAAAACUUUCAACAACGGAUCUCUUGGUUCUGGCAUCGAUGAAGAACGCAGCGAAAUGCGAUAAGUAAUGUGAAUUGCAGAAUUCAGUGAAUCAUCGAAUCUUUGAACGCACAUUGCGCCUCUCGGUAUUCCGGGAGGCAUGCCUGUUCGAGCGUCAUUACACCACUCAAGCUCGGCUUGGUAUUGGGCCCUCGUCCCCCGCGGACGUGCCCGGAAACCAGUGGCGGCGCAGCCCGGCUUCAAGCGGAUCAGUCGUAACAACGCUUUGGAAGCCCGGGUCUGGGUCCGCCAGACAACCCCACCAUUUAUCAAGGUUGACCUCGGAUCAGGUAGGGAUACCCGCUGAACUUAAGCAUAUCAAUAAGCGGAGGAAAAGAAACCAACAGGGAUUGCCUCAGUAACGGCGAGUGAAGCGGCAACAGCUCAAAUUUGAAAUCUGGCUCUUUCAGGGUCCGAGUUGUAAUUUGCAGAGGAUGCUUCGGGUUCGGCUCCGGUCUAAGUUCCUUGGAACAGGACGUCAUAGAGGGUGAGAAUCCCGUAUGUGACCGGUCGCCACGCCCGUGUGAAGCUCCUUCGACGAGUCGAGUUGUUUGGGAAUGCAGCUCAAAAUGGGUGGUAAAUUUCAUCUAAAGCUAAAUAUUGGCCAGAGACCGAUAGCGCACAAGUAGAGUGAUCGAAAGAUGAAAAGCACUUUGGAAAGAGAGUCAAACAGUACGUGAAAUUGUUGAAAGGGAAGCGCUUGCAAUCAGACUUGCCCGCGGGUGAUCAGCCGGUAUUCUUACCGGUGCACUCGCCCGUGGUCAGGCCAGCAUCGGUUUGGGCGGCUGGAUAAAGUCCACCGGAACGUAGCUCCCCUCGGGGAGUGUUAUAGCCGGAGGUGCCAUGCAGCCCGCCCGGACCGAGGACCGCGCU